This 409-nucleotide ribosomal RNA is filed under the name uncultured bacterium. Its description in RNAcentral is "bacterial SSU rRNA". It matches the Rfam family "Bacterial small subunit ribosomal RNA", at positions 64 to 507 of the family's 1533-position model. The record is from RNAcentral.
GAACGCCCGUGAGCGAUCACGGGAGUGGCAGACGGGUGAGUAACGCGUGGGAACAUACCCUCCGGUUCGGAAUAACUCAGGGAAACUUGAGCUAAUACCGGAUACGGCUGAGAGGCGAAAGAAUUUUCGCCGGAGGAUUGGCCCGCGUUCGAUUAGCUAGUUGGUGAGGUAACGGCUCACCAAGGCAACGAUCAGUAGCCGGUCUGAGAGGACGGUCGGCCACACUGGAACUGAGACACGGUCCAGACUCCUACGGGAGGCAGCAGUGGGGAAUUUUUCGCAAUGGGGGCAACCCUGACGAAGCAACGCCGCGUGGGUGAUGAAGUCUCUUGGGACGUAAAACCCUUUCGACGGGGAAGAAACCGCAAGGUUGACGGUACCCGUAGAAGAAGCCCCGGCUAACUCCGUG